Molecule: ribosomal RNA, 253 nt
Filed under: uncultured bacterium
Lineage: Bacteria
Description: partial 16S ribosomal RNA
Rfam family: Bacterial small subunit ribosomal RNA
Source: RNAcentral
GACGUAGGGCGCGAGCGUUGUCCGGAUUUAUUGGGCGUAAAGAGCUCGUAGGCGGCUUGUUGCGUCGGCUGUGAAAACCCGCGGCUUAACUGUGGGCUUGCAGCUGAUACGGGCAGGCUAGAGUUCGGUAGGGGAGACUGGAAUUCCAGGUGUAGCGGUGAAAUGCGUAGAUAUCUGGAGGAACACCGGUGGCGAAGGCGGCAUCCUGGACCAACACUGACACUGAGGAGCGAAAGCCAGGGGAGCAAACGGG